This 497-nucleotide ribosomal RNA is filed under the name uncultured bacterium. Its description in RNAcentral is "partial 16S ribosomal RNA". It matches the Rfam family "Bacterial small subunit ribosomal RNA", at positions 28 to 507 of the family's 1533-position model. The record is from RNAcentral.
GACGAACGCUGGCGGCGUGCCUAAUACAUGCAAGUAGAACGCUGAAGAGAGGAGCUUGCUCUUCUUGGAUGAGUUGCGAACGGGUGAGUAACGCGUAGGUAACCUGCCUUGUAGCGGGGGAUAACUAUUGGAAACGAUAGCUAAUACCGCAUAACAAUGGAUGACACAUGUCAUUUAUUUGAAAGGGGCAAUUGCUCCACUACAAGAUGGACCUGCGUUGUAUUAGCUAGUAGGUGAGGUAACGGCUCACCUAGGCGACGAUACAUAGCCGACCUGAGAGGGUGAUCGGCCACACUGGGACUGAGACACGGCCCAGACUCCUACGGGAGGCAGCAGUAGGGAAUCUUCGGCAAUGGGGGCAACCCUGACCGAGCAACGCCGCGUGAGUGAAGAAGGUUUUCGGAUCGUAAAGCUCUGUUGUAAGUCAAGAACGGGUGUGAGAGUGGAAAGUUCACACUGUGACGGUAGCUUACCAGAAAGGGACGGCUAACUACGUG